Molecule: long non-coding RNA, 8674 nt
Filed under: Salvia miltiorrhiza (redroot sage)
Lineage: Eukaryota; Viridiplantae; Streptophyta; Magnoliopsida; Lamiales; Lamiaceae
Description: long non-coding RNA (SMIL_LNC006813)
Source: RNAcentral
GAGAGGUCCGAAGAGCUGUUCGAAAAUGAGGUCGGAGAAGAAGAGUAUGAUGGCAGCUGUUCUCCUCUGAUAUCAGAAGAACUAUCUGACCCAAGAUGAUCAUGCAAUAUUUCAAGAAUUCAUUGCAAGAAAGUUAACCAACUGUGACCUGAUUUUGUUUUGGGACACUUUAUAAGUUACUUCAAUAUAUAGUGACACUACUUUUCGAUUGUUAGCAAAAUAGGCAGGCUCUCAGGCAUGGUUGUUUUCAACGCCAGUGGGAAAUUUGAAGCGUGAAAGAAAAUGCCAAGUCAUAUGUUUCAAUCAUCGGAAAAUUUUGAACUUGCCUACAAAUUGAAAAAUUAUGUUAUUAUUGAAAUGAUUUUUAAAAUAAUUGUAAUUUAUCAUCGCAAAAUAUUACUGUCUUUAUCCGUUUUACACGAUUAUUUAGAAGUAAAUAUCUUAUUGUAUAUAAAAUUUCUUUAUCUAUUUAUUAGUGUAAAUAAGUGAUCCUGAUUUUUGCUGAAAAUUAACUAAGCGAAAUUCGAUCAGAUAGCUCGAAAAAAAAUGCAGACGGAUCGAAAGGAGUAAUUAUAUACCAAUGAUAUAAGCGAAAAUCACUAGUAAUCGUAGUCACUCCUCUCGUUGACUAGACUUUUGAACGCGCUUUUCUAACUCUUUUCCACUCAACUAAAUUCCGCGAAAUUUUAAAUGCAAGGGAAAGAGAAUAACCAUUUCAUCAAGCUCUCCCACAUAUUUUACCUCUCUUUAGCAGAAUCCCAUGCAAUAAUUUAGUUGAAAACUGAAGAGAGAUGAUGUCGUCUUCGCGAGAUAAUUGGGAGAGGCUGGUGGCGGCGGUGUUGAAGAGAGAUGAGAUACGCCAACUCUGCCACCAAAACUCCAUCUCCACCACGUCAUCCGAUAGUCCGAGAACCUCUACUUCCAGUGGAGAUCUUUCCAGGUGAUUUUGUGUUCAUCUCAAUUUCGGGCGUAAAUUACAGCAUCAGUGACGUUUCUAAUAAAAAAAUUCCUCGACUGCUAUGGAAAUUUGAGAAUAUUUCAGAAUUCUGGGCAACAUAUUGAAGCGUAUACCCGUAUCACCACCGCAUCAACCGCCGCUUACUAGCGCUCCUGGCCUCGAAGGUUCGUCUCCAUUUACAUAUUACAAGUCGUUGGCGGGAUUAGAGUAUAUGAUCUUGCAAUUGCUAUCAUAUAUGUUGUCAUUGUAUAAUUGGGGAAAAUUGAAUUAGAGUCUUUGUGCUUUGCGGAACUGGAUAAAACAAGGAAGACGUUUGGUUUGGCUUAAGCUUUGUUUAAAUUUGUAUAUUUAGUAUAUGAGUUUAGAAAUAAGUUACAGAUGAUGGAGCUUCUGAAAUGUUAAUAAUGAUAAAUUUGUAACUAUUUUAAAGCAAAAGAAACUGUUUUGACAUCUUAGGAACUAUCUUAAACAGCUUGUAGUUUCAUUUAAGAACCGAUCCCUUUUUCACCUCACAACAACAUUUUGGAGUAGUGUCUUUUUUUUUAUACAAGAAUACAACAUAAAUUGCAAUCAUAAACAGAUCAGUGUCCACUUAGAUCAAUACAAUCUGUGAAAAAAUCCCAGAAAAACUUAGGUCAAUCAAUCUACACACAAUAGAAAUCAGAUCUCUGACCUCAACCUCUCAUUGGUUACUUUGAACCGAUACUUAAAAGAGUUUUCUUAAACUGGACCAUAUCUUUUGAUUAAUGUUUAAUUCUUAGCUAAAUGGUAUGGAAUUGCAGCUGGGAAAACUGCUUCUGGACCUAUUACAAGGAAGCUAUUUUCUGCUUCGCUUUGGAGGAGGAAACCGAAGGACUACAAUCUGGGCCAAGGUUUGGUUGGCAUUCCUGGUUAGUUGCAAAAUGGCUUGAAAUAAACUUUGUAUACAUAUUGCAUAUAGCUAUAUGAACAGAGUAACUUAUUUUCUUCAACUGUUGAUGAAGAGGAUCAUUUUGGACUUGAGAGCUUUUCGCUGCGCGAGCUACUUGUUGCGACAGACAAUUUCAGCAACAACAAUUUCCUUGGACGUGAUGGACUUGAUGGACUUGGUAAAGUGUAUAAAGGUCAACUAGCAGAUGGCUCUCUAGUACAAGUUACAAGACUACGACGACAAGAAAUUGAGAUAAAUUUGGAAAUUACAAGCAUUGCUGCACAUUGUAAUGUACUUCGUGCUCGUGGAUUUUGCUUUACGCAAAAAGAGAAGCUGCUCGUUUAUCCUUGCAUGGUUAAUAAAAGUGUGGCGUUCUGGUUAAGAGGUAAUCUCAAUCAAAUAUUCAUAUUCUUUCGUUGGUCUAUUUUUGUUCGAUAACCAUAUUAGGCUUCGUGAAGAACUGAGGGUUGCAGUUUUACAGACUGUUGGAAUAGAUUUGUAGCUUCUUUUAAACCCCUUUUUAAGUCAUCUAGAGGGAAAGUAACCAUAAUUAGUAAUUGAGGGCAAGUUUGUAUAUACAAUUUAGUUGUGAGAAUUUAGAUUUGUUUGUUUGUUUGUUUGUUUUUGGAUAAAUUAACAGUAUUAAAUAAAGAAAUUUAAAGGCCGCGCCACAAGGUACUCGAACCCAAGACCUUUGGCCUUAUGCAUUAACCCCCUUACCACUUGGCCAACACACUCACACACAGUUUUGUUUGUUAUAUUAUGUAAAGUCUUUGUGUUUAUUAUAUUUUGCAAUUGAUUUGGGAUUUUGUUUUGAUACAUCAUAUUUCUAAUAAACCUACUGACUCCAGAAAGACAUGAGGAGCCAUUGCCUCCCCUUGACUGGCCAACAAGGAAACAGAUAUCGCUUGGGGCUGCAAAAGGUCUAGCUUACUUGCAUUAUGAAUGCCCCAGGAAAAUCAUUCAUCGUGAUGUUAAAGCUGCAAAUAUAUUGUUGGAUGAGAACUUUGAAGCAGUUAUUGCUGACUUAACUUUGGGCGAAUUUGUCGAUCGCUGCGAUAGUGAUAUUGUCAUUCCAAUAAUAGGAACAAUUGGUCAUAUAGCUCCUGAGUACCUUGCUACUGGUAAGUGUUCGGUGAAAAUUGAUGUUUAUGGUUAUGGAAUGUUUCUUCUUGAGCUCAUCACAGCACAGAGAGCUUUUGAUCCUGCUCGUCUUGCCAAUGAUGAUGACGUGAUGUUACUAGAUUGGGUGAGUCUUGAUCUUAACUCAUCUACUCUCUUAAAAAUGCAGAUGUAAGGCAUUGCAAAUCAUUUAAAUAGUUGGAAGCUUAAAUACUUUGUGAUAAGAGAUAUUUUGAUCAUUGUAAUAUAAUCUUGUGAUGAUGAGUCUUGGCAAUAUUUGCAUUUGAAAUUUUGAAGUAGCAAUUUCAGAAAUAUAAAGUUCUUGACGCAUUUUUCAGUUCCAUCCAUUAUUAUUUUUAUUAUUUGGUUUCUUGGAAUUUUAUAAUUUUACCUCAGGUAAAUCAAAUUUUCAAGGAGAGAGAAUGGAAAGUGAUUGUCGAUUCAGAACUUCAAGGUGAUUUCGUAGAUGAAGAAGCCGAGGAGUUGUUGCAAAUUGCUCUGAUCUGCACACAAACUGAUCCAGAACAACGUCCGAUGAUGUUGGAAGUUGUGAGGAUGUUAGAAGUUGCAUAUGAGUUGGCUGAGAUGGAGGCAGAGUGGUUCAUGGAUAAUUUCGAAGGAAAUACUUUGGAACGUCAUUAUGUUACGUAGGAUUUUUGCUCUAGGAUAAACUACAGGCAGCAACAGAGGAUUUUAGCGACAAAAUUAUCAGUGAAGAUAGUUUUAAUAUUAUCUAUAAAGGCUUAUUUAGAUGGCUCUCCUGUCGCAGUUUAAAAGAUACAAUUCUCAAAGCCUAGAAUAUUAUUUCGCAAAAGAAUUAGAGAUUGGCACAACUUGUUUCCAUCCAAAUCUAGUCCACGUGAUUGGAUUUUGCCGGACUCCAGAAGAACGACUGCUUGUUUUCCGGUUGAUGGUCAAUGGAAGUGUCGAAUCAUGGUUAAGGGGUAAGCUUGACCAAGUGUUAUUCAAUUUCUCUUCUACAUAUGUAUAGGUAUGAUUUUACUGUGAUCUCUUGAGAUAUAUUGCAUCUUCUAUUUGCUAUAUUGUACCAAAAAGUUCAUUAUCUUUGACCAGAUUUUGGUUUUAGACACGACUUGAAAACGUUUCAAUGAUGACACCACUUUUUUGAUUUGUAGCAAAAUAGUCGACCUUACGUUUCGAUAGUGAGGCCAUUAUUGAAACGUUUAAUGAGUUGUAAUCUAAAACAUAAAAAUUGGGUCAAAGUUGGUGAAUAUUUGGGAAAUUAACCCUUAUUUUAGUAGGUUCUGGUUGGUUAACUUAUUCUUUAUAAAGUUUAUAGGGAUGCAUGAUGCAAGGUAAUUACUUGUGUACGAGAAAUGUCCCGUUUUCUUAAUAUUGUGCAUGAGAACCUCAUUCUCCUUUCUGCAAGUUGCAACUCUUGCUUUAGCUUGCCUGAUAAUGUAUAUUUAGCACAAUCAUAAUAUCCUCUCUCACGCAGCACAUCAAUGUUUCCCACUUUCCUAAGAUUAGGAAAUUAACAUUGCAUGUUGACAUAUUUUGCAGAGAGCAGAUCGGUUUAGUGGAUUUAUUGUUUUCAAUUUUUCUGUUGCAUAGACAUAAGUUUCUGAAUUUACUAUAUGUAGCAGGGAGACGAUGAAUCACGGCCUCCUCUCACUUGGCAAGAAGAAAAGGAAUAGCACUUGGUGCAGCAAGGGGUCUAGCUUAUUUACAUGAUAAAUGUGAAAUGAAAAUCAUUCAUUGCGAUGUCAAAGCUGCAAAUAUAUUGUUAGAUGAAAACUUUGAAGCAGUCGUUGCUGACUUGAAGUCAGCCAAGUUCAUGGACCACAGCAUGACUCAUAUUACCACAACCGUGACAGGAACAAUUGGUCAUAUGGCUCCCGAGUACCUCGCCAGUGGUAGGUGUUCGGAUAAAAACUGAUGUUUUUGGUUAUGGAGCAUUUCUUCUUGAGCUCAUCACAGGGCACAGAACUGCCGAUCUUCUUGAUGUAGCCGAUGAGGAAGAUAGGCUGUAGUGCUUAUGGGUAAGAUCAACUUGCCUAUUAAGUUUAUUCUAUGACUACCAAGACAUUGCUAGUUCGUAAGUCCCCUAUUUUGCAGUUCUAGUUUGCCCAUCUCAUACAUCUAAUCUCAGGUAAAAAAGAAUUACAAAGAGGGAAGAUGGAAAUUGAUGGUUGACAAAGAUAGUGGUGGAGGUGAUUUCAUGGACGAAGUGGUGGUGGAUCAGCUGGUGAAAAUAGCUGUUCUCUGCACACAAUAUGAUCCGGACAGACGUCCGAGGAUGUCGCGUGUUGUGAGUAUAUUAAAAUAUGGUUGUGGUGUGGCUGAGUGGUCCGAUGAGCGGUUUGAAAAAGAGGUCGGAGAAGAAGAGUAUGAUGGCAGCUGUUCUCCUCGGAUAUCAGAAAAACUAUCUGAGCCAAGAUGAUCAUGCAAUAUUUCAAGAAUUAGAGAUUGGCAGAACUUGUUUCCAUCCAAAUCUAGUGCAUGUGAUUGGAUUUUGCGAGACUCCAGAAGAACGACCGCUUGUUUUCCGGUUGAUGGUCAAUGGAAGUGUCGAAUCAUGGUUAAGGGGUAAGCUUGACCGAAUGUUAUUCAAUUGCUCUUCUACAUAUGUAUAGGUAUCAUGAUUUUACUGUGAUCUCUUGAGAUAUGUUGCAUCUUCUAUUUACUAUUUUGUACCAAGAAGUUCAUCAGCUUUUACUAGAUUUUGGAUUUGGGGGGUGUAUUCGUUGUAGAAUUUGAUGGAUUUAUAUGGAUUUUAAAAGUCUGGGUGUAUUCGUUCAAGACUUUUAAAAGUCUGCAGAAAUCUGGGUGUAUUCGUUCAAAACUUUUAAAAGUCCAUAUAAAUCUGGGUGUAUUCGUUCAAGAUUUUUUAAAAUCCAUACAAAUUUAGGUGUAUUCGUUAUUCCAUUGACUUAAAAUCCGGAAUGACUUUCAUGGAUUUCAUCCAAAAAAUACACACGACAAAAUCCGGCCAAGAACCACGAGAAUUGAAAUCCAUGAAGUUUUAAGCGAGCGCUGAGUUCCAGCUCCCGCGGGGGUGUCCAGCGAGCGCUGGGUGUGCGCGGGCGCUGGGUUCCCAGCGGCCGCUGGGUUGCCGCGGUCGCUGGGUCCAGGCAGCCCAGCCACCCACGCUUUUUAUACUGCUCUUCGGUUUUUUUUUUCUCAUUACUCCAAAAAUAUACCACAGAAGCAGACUUUGGUUUUUCAGCGCUCGCUGGAACUCAGCGGUCGCUGGGUUUCCAGCGGUUGCUGGGACUCCGUGGGCGUUGGGUCUCUUCUAGCGGGCGCUGAUUUCAUGGAAUUCAAUUCCAAAAUUAUCCCGUAAAGUCUUCGAAAAUCAAUGAAAAUCGGGGUGAAAUCCAACCACGAAUUCUUUGAAAGUCGUCUGAAAUCUAUGUGAAUUCCAUGGAAUUUAAAUUCCAUGUACUUUUUAAAGUCUGUGGAAAUCCACAACGAAUACACCCCCUUAGACACGAGUCCACGACUUUAAAAUGUUUCAAUAAUGACACCACUCUUUGGAUUUGUAGCAACAUAGUCGACCUCACGUUUCAAUAGUGAGGCCAUUAUUGAAACGUUUAAUGAGUCAUAUCUAAACCUAAAGUUGGGUAAAAGUUCAUGAAUAUUGGGGCAAUUGUGUACGAGAAAUGUACCUUUUUCUUAAUAUUGUGCAUGAGAACCUCAUUUCUCCUUUUUGCAAGUUGCAACUCUUGCUUUAGUUUGCCUGAUAAGUGAUAAUAUAUAUUUAGCACAAUUACUUAUCCAAUUAGGAGAUUUACACAACCUUCAUCUCCAUGUUUAUCAUAUUUUCCUCCCACACUAGUAUAAAUAGGGACUCAAUUCCUACUAUAUAAAAAAAAGAGACACGCAUACAUAGCCUAAGGUAAAAUUUUUAUUCCUUUUUACCAUCAAAGUCAGAAGGGUUUUUGUUGGCUAAUUGGUUUGACGUUGAAGUUAAAGGCAAAUAGUUAUUUAGGACUUUCAUCCGUCAAGAUAAUCCAAAGCGAGUUUAAGGUGGGGAAUUAUAUGCUCGUUGUUAUAUCCAUGCAUGUUUUUAUGUGUUUUAAAUUCAUGUUUGAUUAUAUUUGCUCAAUUACAUGUCCAAAUACAUGUUCAGUUUAUCAUGUUCAAAUACAUGAUUAGAGAUUUUGUUACAUGUCCAUAUACAUGUUCAGUUUAUCAUGUCUGUUUGCCACUCAGAUUUCUGUAUAUGUGCAUGACAAUGUGAUUUAUUAACAUGCUUUAGAGUAUGUAGAUAUUUGCCUUGUUCCUCACUGAGUAUAUUUUCAACAUGAUCACUCUAUUUUCCUUUCAGUUUUGCAGUUUCUGGAGUCCAAGCAGUCCCGGGAGCCGAGAAUGACUAGUACGAAUAGUUUAUUUUCUUUGUUAUAUCUUUUUUAGUUCAAUGAAAUUUAUGAUAAAUUUAAAUUCAGACCACUUAGUUAGAUUUCCUAUGUUAUGGUUUUUUUUUUAGAAAUUGUUUCAAUUUAAAAUAUUUAUUUAAUGGACAUGGCAAUAGAUUUGUUUAAGUUUGUCAAAUUGGUUUUAAUUUGCUAAACUUUUAUAGUCAAGUUUGGUUAUUUAUUUAAUUUUAGUGUGUUAAAAAUUAGAGUGUAACAUAUCAUCUCUCACGCAGCACAUCAAUGUUUCCCACUUAUCCUAAGAUUAGGCAAUUAACAUCGCAUGUUGAGAUAUUUUGCAGAGAGCAGAUCGCUUUAGUGGAUUUAUUGUUUUCAAUUUUUCUGUUGCAUAGACAUAAGUCUCACUUGGCAGAGAUGAAAAAGGAUAGCACUUGGUGCGGCAAGGGGUCUAGCUUAUUUGCAUGAAAAAUGUGGAAAGAAAAUCAUUCAUCGCGAUGUCAAAGCUGCAAAUAUAUUGUUAGAUGACAACUUUGAAGCAGUCGUUGCUGACUUCAAGUCAGCCACGUUCAUGGACCACAGCACGACUCAUAUUACCACAACCGUGGCGGGAACAAUUGGUCAUAUAGCUCCCGAGUACCUUGCCAGUGGUAGGUGUUCGGAUAAAACUGAUGUUUUUGGUUAUGGAGAAUUUCUUCUUGAGCUCAUCACAGGGCACAGAACUGUCGAACUUCUUGAAGUAGCCGAUGAGGAAGAUAGGAUGUGUGCUGAUUGGGUGAGAUCAACUUGCCUUUUAAGUUUUAUUCUAUGUCUACCUGAGAGUUUGCUAGUUGUAAGUCAUUAUAAAUCUAAUCUCAGGUAAAAAAGAAUUACGAAGAGGGAAGAUGGAAAUCGAUGGUUGAGAAAGAUAGUGGUGGAGGUGAUUUCAUGGACGCAGUGGUGGUGAAGCAGCUGGUGAAAAUAGCUGUUCUCUGCACACAAUACGAUCCCGACAGACGUCCGAGGAUGUCGCAUGUUGUGAGUAUGCUAAAAUGUGGUUGUGGUGUGGCUGAGAGGUCCGACCAGAGGUUCAAAGAAGUGGUCGGAGAAGAAGAGUAUGAUGGCAGCUGUUCUCCUCUGAUAUCAGAAGAACUAUCUGACCCAAGAUGAUCAUGCAAUAUUUCAAGAAUUCAUUGCAAGAAAGUUCACCAUGCUGUGACCUGAUUUUGUUUUGGGACACACUUUAUAAGUUACUUCAAUAGUGAAACUACUUUUCGAUUUGUAGCAAAAUAGGCAGGCUCAAGAUUUUCCAACGAUUGAAAAAUGGACUUAGGCAUGAUUGUUUUCAACGCCAGUGGGAAAUUUGAA